UAUCACGUUGAAACACCGCUUCUCCUAGGAUCACUGAAGUUAAGCAACGUAGAGCCUGGUCAGUACUUAGUUAAGUGACCGUUAAGGAAUAUCAGGUUCUGUAAG
Acanthosepion pharaonis is the source of this 105-nucleotide non-coding RNA. NCBI's taxonomy places the organism in Eukaryota, Metazoa, Mollusca, Cephalopoda, Sepiida, Sepiidae. The record is from the annotation of a GenBank genome assembly.